RNAcentral lists this ribosomal RNA (253 nucleotides) under uncultured bacterium. RNAcentral describes it as "partial 16S ribosomal RNA". It matches the Rfam family "Bacterial small subunit ribosomal RNA", at positions 524 to 776 of the family's 1533-position model. The record is from RNAcentral.
GCCGAAGGAUGCAAGCGUUAUCCGGAUUCAUUGGGUUUAAAGGGAGCGUAGGUGGCCUUAUAAGUCAGUGGUGAAAUCUCUGGGCUUAACCCAGAAAUUGCCAUUGAUACUGUAGGGCUUGAGUAUAGUUGCCGUUGGCGGAAUAUGACAUGUAGUGGUGAAAUACAUAGAGAUGUCAUAGAACACCGAUUGCGAAGGCAGCUGACGAAACUAUAACUGACACUGAGGCUCGAAAGUGCGGGGAUCAAACAGG